GACGAACGCUGGCGGCGUGCUUAACACAUGCAAGUCGAACGGGUCUGCCCUGUUUUUUGCGGGGUGGGUCAGUGGCGAACGGGUGAGUAACACGUGAGUAACCUGCCCCUCACUUCUGGAUAACCGCUUGAAAGGGUGGCUAAUACGGGGUGUUCUGGCUGUGCCGCAUGGUGUGGCUGGGAAAGAUUCACUUUUGUGGUGUUUUGGUGGGGGAUGGGCUCGCGGCCUAUCGGCUUGUUGGUGGGGUGAUGGCCUGCCAAGGCUUUGACGGGUAGCCGGCCUGAGAGGGUGGGCGGUCACACUGGGACUGAGAUACGGCCCAGACUCCUGCGGGAGGCAGCAGUGGGGGGUAUUGCACAAUGGGCGGAAGCCUGAUGCAGCGACGUCGCGUGAGGGAUGGAGGCCUUCGGGUUGUGAACCUCUUUCGCCGGUGAAGAAGGUCCUGCUCUUUGUGGUGGGGUUGACGGUAGCCGGGUUAUGAAGCGCCGGCUAACUACGUG
RNAcentral lists this ribosomal RNA (500 nucleotides) under uncultured bacterium. RNAcentral describes it as "partial 16S ribosomal RNA". It matches the Rfam family "Bacterial small subunit ribosomal RNA", at positions 28 to 507 of the family's 1533-position model. The record is from RNAcentral.